AAGGGAAAGGCCUGCCCGUAGGCACACAGCCUUCAGUUGCCCGGGACAUCAGAAAGCCAAUGGGCCCGGAAGAAUGAGAGGCCGGGAAGGCGAGCAUGCGGGUUUUGAUGACGUGUGUGGGUGCUUCCUGUCCAGGGCAAGGGCCCCCCGCAGGAGGACAUACCUGUGGCCGCAGUGAUGGCUGAGCCCAGGAGAUUUCAAACCCCAUGGCCAGACUUCACCUGGGGCAGCUGCACCCAUCACACAGGUAACCCAUUCCACAAGGCAGUUCUGCUUCCGGGCUUGGGAGUCAGAAUUACUCCUUCACAAGAACCACAGCAGAGACGGAGUCAGGCGUCAGCUGUCUUCUAGAGCUCCCUGCCCCU
Molecule: long non-coding RNA, 365 nt
Organism: Manis javanica (Malayan pangolin)
Lineage: Eukaryota; Metazoa; Chordata; Mammalia; Pholidota; Manidae
Source: RefSeq, a predicted model, not a curated record